UACGGGGGGGGCAAGCGUUGUUCGGAAUUACUGGGCGUAAAGGGCGCGUAGGUGGCCAACUAAGUCAGACGUGAAAUCCCCGGGCUCAACCCGGGAACUGCGUCCGAUACUGGGAGGCUUGAAUCCGGGAGAGGGAUGUGGAAUUCCAGGUGUAGCGGUGAAAUGCGUAGAUAUCUGGAGGAACACCGGUGGCGAAGGCGGCAUCCUGGACCGGUAUUGACGCUGAGGCGCGAAAGCUAGGGGAGCAAACGGG
RNAcentral lists this ribosomal RNA (253 nucleotides) under uncultured bacterium. Its description in RNAcentral is "partial 16S ribosomal RNA". It matches the Rfam family "Bacterial small subunit ribosomal RNA", at positions 524 to 776 of the family's 1533-position model. The record is from RNAcentral.